AUUGAACGCUGGCGGCAGGCCUAACACAUGCAAGUCGAGCGGAUGAAGGGAGCUUGCUCCUGGAUUCAGCGGCGGACGGGUGAGUAAUGCCUAGGAAUCUGCCUGGUAGUGGGGGAUAACGUCCGGAAACGGGCGCUAAUACCGCAUACGUCCUGAGGGAGAAAGUGGGGGAUCUUCGGACCUCACGCUAUCAGAUGAGCCUAGGUCGGAUUAGCUAGUUGGUGGGGUAAAGGCCUACCAAGGCGACGAUCCGUAACUGGUCUGAGAGGAUGAUCAGUCACACUGGAACUGAGACACGGUCCAGACUCCUACGGGAGGCAGCAGUGGGGAAUAUUGGACAAUGGGCGAAAGCCUGAUCCAGCCAUGCCGCGUGUGUGAAGAAGGUCUUCGGAUUGUAAAGCACUUUAAGUUGGGAGGAAGGGCAGUAAGUUAAUACCUUGCUGUUUUGACGUUACCAACAGAAUAAGCACCAGCUGACUUGGUG
This 484-nucleotide ribosomal RNA is filed under the name uncultured bacterium. RNAcentral describes it as "partial 16S ribosomal RNA". It matches the Rfam family "Bacterial small subunit ribosomal RNA", at positions 30 to 507 of the family's 1533-position model. The record is from RNAcentral.